UCUCCGUUGGUGAACCAGCGGAGGGAUCAUUACAGGACUCGCAAGACUCCUACAACCCUGUGAACUUAACUAUAAGCACGUUGCUUCGACGGGUGUCUCGGAGGGGGUUCUCCCUCCCCGAGACGCUAAACCCGCCGGCAGCCUACUAUACUCUGUCUCUUUGCGUUGGCAUCUCGAGUACAAUCAAACAAGUUAAAACUUUCAACAACGGAUCUCUUGGUUCUG
Molecule: unclassified non-coding RNA, 225 nt
Filed under: plant metagenome
Description: partial contains small subunit ribosomal RNA, internal transcribed spacer 1, and 5.8S ribosomal RNA
Source: RNAcentral